Molecule: ribosomal RNA, 1400 nt
Filed under: Hoplonympha sp. MO-2004-1
Lineage: Eukaryota; Parabasalia; Trichonymphida; Hoplonymphidae
Description: SSU rRNA
Rfam family: Eukaryotic small subunit ribosomal RNA
Source: RNAcentral
AAGGAAGCACACUUCGGUCAAAGAUUAAGCCAUGCAAGUGUCAGUUCAGGUAACAAACUGCGAACAGUUCAUUAACACACUUAGAACCUAUUUGAUAGCGACACUUGUGCCUUAUAUGGAUAGCAGGAGUAAUUCUCGUGCUAAUACAUGCAAUUGUUUCACCAGAAAUGAAAUAUGGUGGAAAAGUUGACCGAUUGGGCAGGUCAUAUGGUUGAGUGACCUAUCAGCUAGUACUUAGGGUCUUUUCCUAUGUAGGCUAUCACGGGUAACGGGCGGUUGCCGUCGGACUGCCGGAGAAGGCGCCUGAGAGAUAGCGACUAUGCCUACGGGCAGCAGCAGGCGCGAAACUUACCCACUCGAUACAAUCGGAGGUGGUUAUGACCAGUUCCAUUUAUGAACUUCGGUUCAUGGUGGCUAGGAUGGUAGUUAGAUAUCACCAUGCAAUCUAGCAGAGGGCCAGUCUGGUGCCAGCAGCUGCGGUAAUUCCAGCUCUGCGAGUUUGCUCCCAUAUUGUUGCAGUUAAAACGCCCGUAGUCUGAAGUCUUUUGAUAUGGCUUUUGCCGUUCACUGCGAAUAAAUCAGGACGCUUAGAGUGUGUCUACAGGAAUGACCUAGCGUAGUAUGAAAUGUUUGCUUUUCGGAGCAAGAUCAAAGAGAGCCAUUGGGGGUAGUUCUAUUUCAUGGCGAACGGUGAAAUGUUUUGACCCAUGAGAGAGAAACGAAAGCGAAAGCAGCUACCUAGAGGGUAUCUGUCGAUCAAGGGCGAGAGUAGGAGUAUCCAACCGGAUUAGAGACCCGGGUAGUUCCUACUGUAAACGAUGUCGACAGGGGAUUGGCUUAGACUUAAGUCAGCACUCUGAGAGAAAUCAUAGUUCUUGGACUCUGGGGGAACUACGAUCGCAAGACUGAAACUUGAAGGAAUUGACGGAAGGGCACACAAGGGGUGGAGCCUGUGGCUCAAUUUGAAUCAACACGGGGAAACUUACCAGGACAAGAUGGCAUGGUGACUGACAGUCUAAAGGGCUUUCAGGAUAUGUUUGUGGGUGGUGCAUGGCCGUUGGUGGUGCGUGGGUUGACCUGUCUAGCGUUGAUUCAGGUAACGAGCGAGAUUACCGCCAAAUACUAGAAGGAUUCAACUAGUUGAAUGUUGGCUUCUAUUUGGAACUGCCUGGUUUAAAACAGGAGGAAGGUGGUAGCAAUAACAGGUCCGUGAUGUCCUUUAGAUGCUCUGGGCUGCACGCGUGCUACAAUGUGGAUAGCAAUUGGAAGCUAGUUCGAGAGAAUUUGCUACUCCAUAAUCAUCCACGUGGUUGGGAUUGACGAUUGUAAUCAUCGUCAUGAACAAGGAAUUCCUUGUAAAUGUGUGUCAACAACGCACGUUGAAUACGUCCCUGCCCUUU